GUUUAUGGCCAUACUGCUCUGAUUCCAAAAGCUAAGCAGCGUUGUGCCUGGCCAGUACUUCAAUGGGAGACCACCUGGGAAUACCUGGUGCUGUAGGCU
Molecule: non-coding RNA, 99 nt
Organism: Papio anubis (olive baboon)
Lineage: Eukaryota; Metazoa; Chordata; Mammalia; Primates; Cercopithecidae
Source: Rfam